AAAGUCGUAACAAGGUCUCCGUUGGUGAACCAGCGGAGGGAUCAUUAUAGAGUGUAAAAAACUCCAAACCCCUGUGAACGUACCACUGUUGCUUCGGCGCGCACGCCCCCGGGCACCCAUUGGUAAGACAAUGGUGCACUGGAUCAGGCCGCCGCCGGGGGACCCCAAACUCUUGCUUUUACCUGUAUCGUCUGAGUGGAUUAUCAAAUAAAUCAAAACUUUCAACAACGGAUCUCUUGGCUCUG
Molecule: unclassified non-coding RNA, 245 nt
Filed under: Ascomycota sp.
Lineage: Eukaryota; Fungi; Ascomycota
Description: partial contains small subunit ribosomal RNA, internal transcribed spacer 1, and 5.8S ribosomal RNA
Rfam family: Eukaryotic small subunit ribosomal RNA (bases 1-47)
Source: RNAcentral